This 497-nucleotide ribosomal RNA is filed under the name uncultured bacterium. Its description in RNAcentral is "partial 16S ribosomal RNA". It matches the Rfam family "Bacterial small subunit ribosomal RNA", at positions 899 to 1397 of the family's 1533-position model. The record is from RNAcentral.
ACUCAAAUGAAUUGACGGGGGCCCGCACAAGCGGCGGAGCAUGUUGCUUAAUUCGAGGCAACGCGAAGAACCUUACCUGGGCUUGACAUGCAGGGAAAAGCCGUGGAGACACGGUGUCCUUCGGGGCCCUGCACAGGUGGUGCAUGGCUGUCGUCAGCUCGUGUCGUGAGAUGUUGGGUUAAGUCCCGCAACGAGCGCAACCCUUGUCCUAUGUUGCCAGCGGGUAAUGCCGGGGACUCGUAGGAGACUGCCGGGGUCAACUCGGAGGAAGGUGGGGAUGACGUCAAGUCAUCAUGCCCCUUAUGUCCAGGGCUGCAAACAUGCUACAAUGGCCGGUACAAAGGGCCGCUAUCCCGCGAGGGUGAGCCAAUCCCAGAAAGCCGGUCUCAGUUCGGAUUGAAGUCUGCAACUCGACUUCAUGAAGCCGGAGUCGCUAGUAAUCCCGGAUCAGCAUUGCCGGGGUGAAUACGUUCCCGGGCCUUGCACACACCGCCCGU